UACACGGGAGCAUGGGUGAUGGUGGUACUCCUUGGCACAUGGGGUAGUGGUCCUGAAGGCCAGAUGCAAGUCGUUAUGCUCAUAGUCUCACAAACAACGCAAAGCCACACAGGUACUUAUCACCCUGGAGGAGACAUUAUAUAUUUAAUUGGAUUUUUCUGCCAUGUGCCAUGUCUUGGAUUUCACAUAGAUGAACAAGAGUCAAUUCUUGAGCGAGAUGCCCAG
Molecule: non-coding RNA, 225 nt
Organism: Triticum urartu
Lineage: Eukaryota; Viridiplantae; Streptophyta; Magnoliopsida; Poales; Poaceae
Source: RefSeq, a predicted model, not a curated record